CAGGUGUGAAAUCCCCGGGCUUAACCUGGGAAUGGCAUUUGUGACUGCAUAGCUAGAGUGUGUCAGAGGGGGGUAGAAUUUCCACGUGUUGCUGUGAAAUGCGUAGAGAUGUGGAGGAAUACCGAUGGCGGAGGCAGCCCCCUGGGAUAACUCUGACGCUCAUGCACGAAAGCGUGGGCAGCAAACCGGAUUAGAUACCUUGGUAGUCCACGCCCUAAACGAUGUCUACUAGUUGUCGGGUCUUAAUUGACUUGGUAACGCAGCUAACGCGUGAAGUAGACCCCCUGGGGGGUACGGUCGCAAGAUUAAAACUCAAAGGAAUUGCCGGGGAACCGCACAAGCGGUGGAUGAUGUGGAUUAAUUCGAUGCAACGCGAAAAACCUUACCUACCCUUGACAUGUACAGAAUCCCGAAGAGAUUUGGGAGUGUUCGAAAGAAAACUGUAACACAGGUGCUGCAUGGCUGUCGUCAGCUCGUGUCGUGAGAUGUUGGGUUAAGUCCCGCAACGAGCGCAACCCUUGUCAAUAGUUGCUACGAAAGGGCACUCUAAUGAGACUGCCGGUGACAAACCGGAGGAAGGUGGGGAUGACGUCAAGUCCUCAUGGCCCUUAUGGGUAGGGCUUCACACGUCAUACAAUGGUACAUACAGAGGGCCGCCAACCCGCGAGGGGGAGCUAAUCCCAGAAAGUGUAUCGUAGUCCGGAUUGUAGUCUGCAACUCGACUACAUGAAGUUGGAAUCGCUAGUAAUCGCGGAUCAGCAUGUCGCGGUGAAUACGUUCCCGGGUCUUGUACACACCGCCCGUCACACCAUGGGAGCGGGUUUUACCAGAAGUAGGUAGCCUAACCG
This 848-nucleotide ribosomal RNA is filed under the name Collimonas sp. FyFern_44. RNAcentral describes it as "bacterial SSU rRNA". It matches the Rfam family "Bacterial small subunit ribosomal RNA", at positions 589 to 1441 of the family's 1533-position model. Lineage: Bacteria; Pseudomonadati; Pseudomonadota; Betaproteobacteria; Burkholderiales; Oxalobacteraceae. The record is from RNAcentral.